CACGUAGGAGCCUAGCGUUAUCCGAAUUUACUGGGCGUAAAGCGCGUGUAGGCGGUUCGAUAAGUUGGAUGUGAAAGCUCCUGGCUCAACUGGGAGAGGUCGUUCAAUACUGUCGGACUUGAGGAUGGUAGAGGGAGGUGGAAUUCCCGGUGUAGUGGUGAAAUGCGUAGAUAUCGGGAGGAACACCAGUGGCGAAAGCGGCCUCCUGGACCAUUCCUGACGCUCAGACGCGAAAGCUAAGGGAGCAAACGGG
Molecule: ribosomal RNA, 253 nt
Filed under: uncultured bacterium
Lineage: Bacteria
Description: partial 16S ribosomal RNA
Rfam family: Bacterial small subunit ribosomal RNA
Source: RNAcentral